AUGAACGUUGAAAGAUGUGCUUUUCUAUGUUUUUCAUUAAAUCAAAACUCUCAGUGUUUGGUGAUUGAGUGUGUAAAUAUAUUCACAUUAAGGAGAAUGUUUAAAAUGGUCAUUAAGCACUCACAUGCUCACACACAUACACAUACACACACUCUCUCUCUCUCUCGCACGCACGCACGCACUCACUCACAAAUACGCACUCACUCACACACGCAUGCACACACACACAGACACUCUCACACACACACACACGCACUCACUCACACACACACACACACUCACUCACACACGCAUGCACACACACACAGACACUCUCACACACACGCACUCACUCACACACAUACAUACGCAUGCACACUCUCACACACACUCACUCACAUGCUCACACAAGCAUGCACACACGCUCACUCACACACACACACACGCACUCACUCACACACAUACAUACGCAUGCACACUCUCACACACACUCACUCACAUGCUCACACAAGCAUGCACACACGCUCACUCACACACAUACGCAUGCACACUCACACACGCUCACUCUCACUCACAUGCUCACAUACGCAUGCACACUCACACUCACUCACAUGCUCACACACACACUCACUCACAUACUCACACACACACACACUCACUCACAUGCACACUCACGCGCACACUCACACAGUCACUCACGCGCGCGCACUCACACACAUGCUCACUCACACGCACACACACGCUCGCUCACUCACACGCACUCACUCACACACACACACUCACAUGCUCACACACACUCACACACACACACACACUCACUCACAUGCUCACACAUACGCAUGCACAAUCUCACACGCUCACACACACACGCGCACACACACACAGUCACUCACAUGCUCACUCACACACACACACAGUCACUCACAUGCUCACUCACACACACACUCACAUGCUCACGCAUGCACACUCUCACUCACGCGCACACUCACACAGUCACUCACACGCACACACACGCUCACUCACACACUCACAUGCUCACUCACACGCACACACGCUCACUCACACUCACUCACACACACACACUCACACGCUCACUCACACACGCGCACACUCACACACAUUCACUCACAUGCUCACUCACACACACACACACACAGUCACUCACAUGCUCACUCACACACACACACUCACAUGCUCACACACAUACGCAUGCACACUCUCACUCACACGCAUACACACACAUACGCAUGCACACGCUCACUCACACGCACACACUCACAUGCUCACACACAUACGCAUACACACUCUCACACACGCUCACUCACGCACACACUCACAUGCUCACACACAUACGCAUACACACUCUCACACACGCUCACUCACGCACACACUCACAUGCUCACUCACACGCACACACACGCUCGCUCACUCACACGCACACACUCACACACACUCACUCACAUGCUCACACAUGCAUGCACACACGCUCACUCACACGCACACACUCACAUGCUCACACACAUACGCAUACACACUCUCACACACGCUCACUCAUGCACACACUCACAUGCUCACUCACACACACACACACACACACUCUCACACACUCACAUGCUCACACACACAUACGCAUGCACACUCACACGCUCGCUCACUCACUCACUCUCACACGCUCACUCACACACACACUCACUCUCACACGCUCACUUACACGCACACACACUCACAUGCUCACACACACAUACACACGCACACACACACGCUCACUCACACACACACUCACUCACACGCUCACACACACACUCACUCACACGCUCACACACACACUCACUCACACGCUCACACACACACUCACUCACACGCUCACACACACACUCACUCACACGCUCACACACACACUCACUCACACGCUCACACACACACUCACUCACACGCUCACACACACACUCACUCACACGCUCACACACACACUCACUCACAUGCUCACACAUGCAUGCACACUCACGCGCACACUCACACAGUCACUCACGCGCACGCACUCACACACACACUCACACUCACACACAUGCUCACUCACACGCACACACACGCUCGCUCACUCACACGCACUCACUCACACACACACACUCACAUGCUCACUCACACGCACUCACUCACACACACACACACUCACAUGCUCACACAUACGCAUGCACAAUCUCACAUGCUCACUCGCGCACACACACGCUCACUCACUCACACACACACACACACACUCUCACUCACAUGCUCACACACAUACGCAUGCACAAUCUCACACGCUCACUCACACACGCGCACACUCACACACACGCACUCACAUGCUCACUCACACACACACUCACAUGCUCACACAUACGCAUGCACAAUCUCACACGCUCACUCACACACGCGCACACUCACACACACUCACUCACAUGCUCGCUCACACACACACACACACACUCUCACUCACAUGCUCACACACAUACGCAUGCACAAUCUCACACGCUCACUCACACACGCGCACACUCACACACAGUCACUCACAUGCUCGCUCACUCACACACACACACAGUCACUCACAUGCUCACUCACACACACACUCACAUGCUCACGCAUGCACACUCUCACUCACGCGCACACUCACACAGUCACUCACGCGCACACUCACAUGCUCACUCACACGCACACACACGCUCACACACACGCUCACUCACACACACUCACAUGCUCACUCACACACACGCUCACUCACACUCACUCACACACACACACUCACAUGCUCACACACAUACGCAUGCACAAUCUCACUCACACGCUUACACACACAUACGCAUGCACACGCUCACUCACACGCACACACACAUACGCAUGCACAAUCUCACUCGCACGCUUACACACACAUACGCAUGCACACGCUCACUCACGCACACACACUCACUCUCACUCACAUACUCUCACUCACACGCACACACACUCACUCUCUCACACACACUCACUCACACACACACUCUCACACACUCACUCACUCACUCUCACACACACUCACUCUCUCACACACACUCUCACUCACACACACACUCACUCACAUGCUCACUCACUCACACACACACACACACUCACUCACUCACAUGCUCACACAUGCAUGCACACACGCUCACUCACACGCACACUCACAUGCUCACACACAUACGCAUACACACUCACACACGCUCACUCAUGCACACACUCACAUGCUCACUCACACACACAUGCUCACACACACAUACGCAUGCACACUCACACACGCUCGCUCACUCACACACACACACUCACUCUCACACGCUCACUCACACACACAUACGCAUGCACACUCACACACGCUCACUCACUCACUCACUCUCACACGCUCACUCACACACACAUACGCAUGCACACUCACACACGCUCACUCACUCACACACACACUCACUCUCACACGCUCACACACACUCACUCUCACACGCACACACACUCACAUGCUCACACAGACACACACACACAAGUGCAUUCAAAAGUCUGAGACCACAGUGA
Molecule: long non-coding RNA, 3531 nt
Filed under: Sinocyclocheilus grahami
Lineage: Eukaryota; Metazoa; Chordata; Actinopteri; Cypriniformes; Cyprinidae
Description: lncRNA (ENSSGRG00000016367.1)
Source: RNAcentral